UAUAGGUCACGAGCUACGACGUGAGAUUUUGGAAGCAGCGCUAAGAGAUGGUGAUUAUGAUGAUACAGAGCUGGAUGGCCAGGAGUAGUUCUAGUAUAAAGACUUAGAGAG
This is a long non-coding RNA of Carya illinoinensis, 111 nucleotides long. RefSeq lists it as uncharacterized. The transcript is spliced from 2 exons. The record is from RefSeq and is a predicted model, not a curated record. Lineage: Eukaryota; Viridiplantae; Streptophyta; Magnoliopsida; Fagales; Juglandaceae.